Papaver somniferum (opium poppy) is the source of this 2426-nucleotide long non-coding RNA. RefSeq lists it as uncharacterized. Lineage: Eukaryota; Viridiplantae; Streptophyta; Magnoliopsida; Ranunculales; Papaveraceae. The record is from RefSeq and is a predicted model, not a curated record. The transcript has 8 exons.
UCUAAAAGUCCCUAAUAAACACGAAUUAAACCUAAGAGUUUUAAUUCGGAAGGUAGGAAAAGCUACGGAUGGAGUGCGAAUAAGGACUAAGGGUUUCACAAUUCGUACGAAUUUGUUUUCUACACGGAGAUCCAUAAAAGGGACUCUUGACAUCUAUAAGAUUAUAUGAAUACUUUAGAUACCUUUCGAUGUUCUUUCAAUAAUUUUUCAGGGACAUUUUCUGAGUCUUAUAUGGCUCGAUUGUUCUUAUGUAGCUCUUUGAAGAGGUCUGAAAUUGAAACAACAAUUAAGAGAGCUCAAAACGAUCCAAAUUCUCUUUCAUUGGUUCCUGUUUAAGAUGAAUUGGUGUUGAUUUCUUUUCUUGAGGUUGGGUACGCAACUAAAGAGAUUAUACAGGCGAAGAACUUUUCUCUGGCUCCGUUGAUCCUAAUUCACUCAAUAUGAACUUUUCUCUGGCUCCGGUGAUCCUAAUUCACUCAAUAAUAUGGAAAGAAGAUGUGGACGUGGAUUGAAUAAGCUAGAUCGAAAGAUGAGACUGGAUUUAGUAGAUGGCAUGUUUACUUGAGUUGAAAAUUUCGACAAGAUUGAAUUUUGCAAGUCCAAGCUGAAAACAUUCGCAGAUUGGUGUUGGGAUACAAACACCAUGGUGUCAGAUUUAUCAAUUGGGUUCUCUGAUUUUAGGUCAUUAUCUCCCGAAGAGAGUUCAGACCCAGCAAUCCAAUAGGUUACUGAUUUAGGCUUUGUUUAAUUUGUUAUUUAUCACCAGCGAAAAUUAAGUAUAACACAAUUUCUAGAUGUGUACUUACCUAAAGGUAAUUUAUUGUUUAACGUUCUUUUUGAUACCUGUUGACACUGAAAUAACCUUAUGGAAUGUGGAAUGUUACUCAUUCGAAUAAAAGUUUGCAAUUUGCUUUGAAUUGUCCAAAUCUUGAGCUAAAAUCGAGAUAGAUAAAAGACGAAAGGUGUGUGAUUAACUAAUUUUUUGUUAGAUCAGUUUUUUGUUUUGAGUAUCUUAUCAAAUGGUUCUAUUCUUGCGUACAUAUUCAGAUUGAGCAAUCCAUAUCAUGUCGUACAUUAUGGGUCAAUUCUAAACAACUUCAAACUAUUUGAUAAUCCUGGAUAUUUAGGAAACUGAAAAAAAGAAACAGAUUGAAUAUUUGGUACUUAAAUAUAGUAUACGUUUCACAUUUUAACUUUAUAACAUUCAAGUCAUAGAUGCAUUUCGCUCACAUGUUACUGUUAUAUCAGGUAAUACGAUGGGGAUGAGCUGUUGGGUCGAAUUCCACCCAAGGAGAGAUACCAUUGCCGACUUCGAUAGUGUACUAGACAAAAAAAGUAACAUAGACCUCAUGAAAUGAUUUUGCGUUGGGGGAUGUUGAAUGUGGACGAGCUAUUGAACCUCCAACUGUUAUCUCUGACAAGUUGAAGUGCAGUAAUCGUCGUUGUGGGCAUCGUUGUGGUAGUUAUGUGGCUGUACUGACGUAGGAAAUAAAAACGAUAAACUUUGUUCUAGCUGACUUCAUUACUUGGUGUGAAAUAUCACAAAUGAUGUGAAAGGAUGUUCCUGACUUUGUUUCUAAAGAUACUGCGUACCUGCAAUAAGUAAGUUGAAGUGAAUUGGCUGAGCUUGGUCCACUUUCAGGGAUUGGAUGUGAUCGCUGCUAAUCACCCCAUACCUCGAUUCUCCGUUUGUUGUAAGGCGGUGUAGGAAACAACAAGAAACCAGUGGAGUUUUUUGCUGGGGUGCACUCUACUUAGCCAGUGUAAGUUCUACUUUAAAGAAAACAAGAAGUGAACGGUAAGAGAACAUAAGAAGUUGGGGAAGAAACAAGUUUGCUGUCAGUGGUUGAUUGAAGUAUCAAGUGGAUCUUGGGGUCAUGGACUGAGAAGAUUGUAUAAUAUUGGGGAAUUCGAUAAAGAAUUGAAAGACGGAUUUUCACCUGUUUUUGAGUUUGCACAGAGAUAGUGAGAAAUGGGACAAGUUUUAUCAGCUGACAAACAGUGGAUUAAUCUUGGUUACUGCCAUUGAUUAGAUUGAUAUAAACGGAGGAGAUUACAGACUAUUCUGGAGUCUGAAAAGUCAAGAAGAGUACGUAGGGAGUAUGGAUUGUCGAGAAUAUUGUUUGGUUUUGAAUUUGUGUGGCAGAAAAAUUAAUUGAUGUAGACGGUGCCUAUUGUUCUAUUCAAGUGAGAAAUGGUGAUGAUUAAGAAUUUCAAGAAACUGAAGUCUGUCUAUAAGAAGGGGUUAAACAACAUUUAUGAUGUUGGCCUCCUGAUUGUUGGUAUCAUCCUGAUCGUUUUUGUCCUUUUUCUCCAUCAAGGAAGUCAGGCUCAAUGGUUUGUCGACGGGCAAACACCAUUUCAUGCAAAACUGACGUGUACUUUAUAACGAGGAAAACAUAAAUUGAAUCCACGUAUUCAUUCAC